GAUGAACGCUGGCGGCGUGCUUAACACAUGCAAGUCGAACGGAGAAAGGGUAGCUUGCUAUCUUUUCUUAGUGGCGGACGGGUGAGUAACGCGUGGGUAACCUGCCCUUUGCAGGGGGAUAACAGUGAGAAAUCACUGCUAAUACCGCAUACCAACUUCUUUCGCAUGAAGGAAGUUUGAAAGAUUUAUCGGCAAAGGAUGGACCCGCGUUGGAUUAGCUAGUUGGUGAGAUAACAGCCCACCAAGGCAACGAUCCAUAGCCGGCCUGAGAGGGUGAACGGCCACACUGGGACUGAGACACGGCCCAGACUCCUACGGGAGGCAGCAGUGGGGAAUAUUGCACAAUGGGCGAAAGCCUGAUGCAGCGACGCCGCGUGAAGGAUGAAGGUCUUCGGAUUGUAAACUUCUAUCAGCAGGGAAGAAGGGCUUAUAGCCUAUGACGGUACCUGACUAAGAACGCCCCGGCUAACUACGUGCCAGCAGCCGACGGUAAAAGUCUAC
RNAcentral lists this ribosomal RNA (501 nucleotides) under uncultured bacterium. RNAcentral's name for it is "bacterial SSU rRNA". It matches the Rfam family "Bacterial small subunit ribosomal RNA", at positions 28 to 530 of the family's 1533-position model. The record is from RNAcentral.